Long non-coding RNA from Syngnathoides biaculeatus (alligator pipefish), 512 nucleotides. RefSeq lists it as uncharacterized. Lineage: Eukaryota; Metazoa; Chordata; Actinopteri; Syngnathiformes; Syngnathidae. The record is from RefSeq and is a predicted model, not a curated record. The transcript is spliced from 4 exons.
UGACUAGUUCAAAUCCAGUGCCGGCCCCGUUUGACCAGUUUGGAGGUGACACUAGAGCGCUCCCCCCAAGGUCAUCUGGACAACGUUUCACUAGGCUGGAUGAGACACGGUCGAUUGGAGCAGGUUAGAGCUCUGAGUUUGUGGAGUCGAUCGAAGGAAAUGAAUGAGACCAAGUUGGAGCUGAAGCAGCCUUUCUCCUCAUCGCUCAGCCGGCUUUCCCUUCACACACUCUCACAGUGCUCUGAGAAAGAGCAGCGCAGCAUCCAGCAGACCCAUCUGUCUUGGUCUAGUGGAAACCCAGUCAACGUUUCCUUCAGCCUAAACAAACGAUGGCAGCUUAACUCUAGCAAGGAGCAAGCAUGUGUUCUGUUGUCAACCCAAAAGAUGGCAGGAUCUCCUGUCAAGGGUUGUAUCUCAAUCAGCCACGAAGGAAACCUAUUUUCACAAAAUGCUGAGCUAAGAUGGGACAACAGGAGUGUUAAACAAGGGAUGAAGUAUCAGGUACACAAACG